GACUUCGGUCUGGUGGCGAGUGGCGAACGGGUGAGUAAUAUAUCGGAACGUACCCUGGAGUGGGGGAUAACGCAGCGAAAGUUGCGCUAAUACCGCAUACGAUCUACGGAUGAAAGUGGGGGCUCGCAAGACCUCAUGCUCGUGGAGCGGCCGAUAUCUGAUUAGCUAGUUGGUAGGGUAAAAGCCUACCAAGGCUUCGAUCAGUAGCUGGUCUGAGAGGACGACCAGCCACACUGGGACUGAGACACGGCCCAGACUCCUACGGGAGGCAGCAGUGGGGAAUUUUGGACAAUGGGGGCAACCCUGAUCCAGCAAUGCCGCGUGAGUGAAGAAGGCCUUCGGGUUGUAAAGCUCUUUUGUCAGGGAAGAAACGGUGAAGGCUAAUACUCUUUGCUAAUGACGGUACCUGAAGAAUAAGCACCGGCUAACUACGUGCCAGCAGCCGCGGUAAUACGUAGGGUGCAAGCGUUAAUCGGAAUUACUGGGCGUAAAGCGUGCGCAGGCGGUUAUGUAAGUCAGAUGUGAAAUCCCCGGGCUCAACCUGGGAAUGGCAUUUGAGACUGCAUGGCUAGAGUGUGUCAGAGGGGGGUAGAAUUCCACGUGUAGCAGUGAAAUGCGUAGAUAUGUGGAGGAAU
Molecule: ribosomal RNA, 635 nt
Filed under: uncultured bacterium
Lineage: Bacteria
Description: bacterial SSU rRNA
Rfam family: Bacterial small subunit ribosomal RNA
Source: RNAcentral